UAUGGGGCAAGCGUUAUCCGGAUUUACUGGGUGUAAAGGGAGCGUAGGCGGUACGGCAAGUCAGAAGUGAAAGCCUGGGGCUCAACCCCGGAAUUGCUUUUGAAACUGUCGAACUAGAGUGUCGGAGGGGUAAGCGGAAUUCCUAGUGUAGCGGUGAAAUGCGUAGAUAUUAGGAGGAACGCCGGUGGCGGAGGCGGCUUACUGGACGACCACUGACGCUGAGGCUCGAAAGCGUGGGGAGCAAA
Molecule: ribosomal RNA, 245 nt
Filed under: uncultured bacterium
Lineage: Bacteria
Description: partial 16S ribosomal RNA
Rfam family: Bacterial small subunit ribosomal RNA
Source: RNAcentral